GUGUCAGCCGCCGCGGUAAUACGUAGGUGGCAAGCGUUGUCCGGAAUUAUUGGGCGUAAAGGGCGCGCAGGCGGUUUUACAAGUCGGUCUUAAAAGUGCGGGGCUCAACCCCGUGAGGGGACGGAAACUGUAAAACUGGAGUAUCGGAGAGGAAAGCGGAAUUCCUAGUGUAGCGGUGAAAUGCGUAGAUAUUAGGAGGAACACCAGUGGCGAAAGCGGCUUUCUGGACGAUAACUGACGCUGAGGCGCGAAAGCCAGGGGAGCGAACGGGAUUAGAUACCCCGGUAGUCCUGGCCGUAAACGAUGGAUACUAGGUGUGGGAGGUAUCGACCCCUUCCGUGCCGGAGUUAACGCAAUAAGUAUCCCGCCUGGGGAGUACGGCCGCAAGGCUGAAACUUAAAUGAAUUGGCGG
RNAcentral lists this ribosomal RNA (412 nucleotides) under uncultured bacterium. RNAcentral's name for it is "bacterial SSU rRNA". It matches the Rfam family "Bacterial small subunit ribosomal RNA", at positions 505 to 916 of the family's 1533-position model. The record is from RNAcentral.